GCUUCUCUCCUAUAUCCCAGAACCUUCUCUACACUCUAAAUCAUGGCUUCUUAUACACCAUGCAGAAUUCUUAAAAUGAAUUUAUAAUGUGCACUAUUUAAAAUGUUCCCUUUGUUGCCGUUGAACAUGGGAAAAUGUAGAUAUUCAAGAUUCCCAUUGGCAGAAAGCUGGGGUCCUUAGUAAAGAUAAAUAACAUGUAAUGUUGUGGCUUCAUCUGUUUUCUCCAUUAACUCUAUGCAGAACAGGAUUAAUAAAAUACUUAUUUAAACAGGAUGGCGUUUAUUACCGUGAAAAUUCUGAAAAAAAGUUAUUGAGAGAUACCUGCUCUCUCGGGUGCUAAAGAAAGACUACUUUAAAAUGUUAUUAAAAAUUACAGAACAUAGAAGAUACCUGCAUUUUGAACUCUGCAUAAAACUGAUUUUUCUGUGUGGUUAAAUUCAGACUAUAAUUUACUUUUCGAGGGGCAAUAUCUCAGCAGUGAUGAUGUGUUCUUCUGUGUGCAUCAGCACAUCAUAAACAUUUGUCCUAAUGCAGUUGAUUUUAAAAUUUACUUAAAGCGCUCUCUGAAAUAUUUAUUUCACUAUAGAGUUAAUUAUUUUUCUCUUCAUUAUUAAGUAUCUUUAUGUAGCUAAGGAAAAGCUGUGCAUAAACCAUCACAUUUAAUCUGGCAGUUGCCUUUCUUUCUUAGGUUUUCCUUGCAUAUAUCUGUCUUUGGAAAAUGAAGACUCUUGUCUUUGUUUACAGGGCAGAAAAAUUGAGUAAAACACAGGUUCUUCCACUUACUGGAUGUUUGACAAAAUAUUCUUUCUGGGCCAAACACAUUGGCAUUACUAGUGAGUUUGUUAGAAAUUCAUAAACUCAGAGUUUAUUUCAGAUCUUCUGGGAAAAAAAUCUGCACAAGAUCUCCAGUUCAUUGUUCACAUUAAAGCUUGAGAGGUGCCUUCUAACUCAACAUAUCUUUUUUGUCUGAAAAAUAUACACAACUCAUUCCUUGUGUGGCAAAUAUAGCACUAAAAAAUGUACAUGUUUGUGUUUAUGCCUUUAGUUUUAUACUUUACUAUUCAUAAAAGUAUAUAUACACUGGUGUUGUAGAUUUUAUACCAUUCUCUCAGAGAAUACAUUAGAGAAUAUUUCUGUGUUGAAAUUUGUUGGAUAAUUUCAGUCAUUCUUGUAAGUCAGACGAAUUUUCUUUACUCUUUCAUUUAACCUUAAUUCAAAUGAUAAAUUUUGCCCACGUGUAAAUGUGUGUGUGUGUGUGUGUGUGUGUGUGUGUUUGUUUGUUUCAGGGGCCAUUGACAUUUAGGGAUGUGGCCAUAGAAUUCUCUCUGGAGGAGUGGCAAUGCCUGGACACUGCUCAGCAAGAUUUGUAUAGGAAAGUGAUGUUAGAGAACUACAGAAACCUGGUCUUCUUGGGUAUUGCUGUCUCUAAGCCAGAUCUGGUCACCUGUCUGGAGCAAGGAAAAGAUCCCUGGAAUAUGAAGAGACACAGUAUGGUAGUCAAACCCCCAGUUAUAUGUUCUCAUUUUGCUGAAGACUUUUGCCCAGGGCCAGGCAUUAAAGAUUCUUUUCAAAAAGUGAUACUGAGAGAAUAUGUAAAAUGUGGACAUAAGGAUUUACAGUUAAGAAAAGGCUGUAAAAGUAUGAAUGAGUGUAAUGUGCACAAAGAAGGUUAUAAUGAACUAAACCAGUGUUUGACAACUACCCAGAGCAAAAUAUUUCAAUGUGAUAAAUAUGUGAAAGUCUUUCAUAAACUUUUAAAUUCAAAUAGACAUAACACAAGACAUACUGGAAAGAAACCUUUCAAAUGUAAAAAAUGUGGCAAAUCAUUUUGCAUGCUUUUACACCUACGUCAGCAUAAAAGAAUUCAUAUUGGAGAGAAUUCUUACCAAUGUGAAGAAUGUGGCAAAGCCUUUAUCUGGUUUUCAACCCUUACUAGACACAGGACAGUUCAUACUGGAGAGAAAUCCUACAAAUACGAAGAAUGUGGCAAUGCUUUUAACCAGGACUCAAACCUUACUACACAUAAGAGAAUUCAUACUGGACCGAAACCCUACAAAUGUGAAGAAUGUGGCACAGCUUUCUACCAAUUCUCAUACCUUACUAGGCAUAAGCUAAUUCAUACUGGAGAGAAACCCUAUAAAUGUGAACAAUAUGACAAAACUUUUAACCAGUCUUCAACCUUUACUAGACAUAAGAUAAUUCAUACUGGAGAAAAACCUUAUAAAUGUGAAGAAUGUGGCAAAGCCUUUAGUAUUUUCUCAACCCUUACUAAACAUAAGAUAAUUCACACUGAAGAGAAAUCCCACAGACGUGAAGAAUAUGGCAAAGCUUAUAAGGAGUCUUCACACCUUACUACACAUAAAAGAAUUCAUACUGGAGAGAAACCCUACAAAUGUGAAGAAUGUGGCAAAACCUUUAGUGUAUUCUCAAUCCUUACUAAACAUAAAAUAAUUCAUACAGAAGAGAAACCCUACAAAUGUGAAGAAUGUGGCAAAGCUUUUAAACGAUCUUCAACCCUUACUAAACAUAGGAUAAUUCAUACUGAAGAGAAACCCUACAAAUGUGAAGAAUGUGGCAAAGCUUUUAACCAAUCUUCAACCCUUACUAUACAUAAAAUAAUUCAUACUGGAGAAAAACCCUACAAAUGUGAAGAAUGUGGCAAAGCUUUUCAACGAUCUUCAACCCUUACUAUACAUAAAAUGAUUCAUACUGGAGAAAAACCCUACAAAUGUGAAGAAUGUGGCAAAGCUUUUAAUCGGUCCUCACACCUUACUACACAUAAGAGAAUUCAUACUGGACAGAAACCCUACAAAUGUAAAGAAUGUGGCAAAUCCUUUAGUGUAUUCUCAACCCUUACUAAACAUAAGAUAAUUCAUACUGAUGAGAAACCCUACAAAUGUGAAGAUUGCGGCAAAGCUUUUAACCGAUCUUCAAUCCUUAGUAUACAUAAGAAAAUUCAUACUGGAGAAAAACCCUACAAAUGUGAAGAAUGUGGCAAAGCUUUUAAGCGGUCCUCACACCUUGCUGGGCAUAAGCAAAUUCAUAGUGUACAAAAACCCUACAAAUGUGAAGAAUGUGGCAAAGCCUUUAGUAUAUUCUCAACCCUUACUAAACAUAAGAUAAUUCAUACUGAAGAGAAACCCUACAAAUGUGAAAAAUGUGGCAAAACUUUCUACCGAUUCUCAAACCUUAAUACGCAUAAGAUAAUUCAUACUGGAGAGAAACCUUGCAAAUGUGAAGAAUGUGGCAAAGCUUUUAACCAUUCCUCAAACCUUACUAAACAUAAGCUAAUUCAUACUGGAGACAAACCCUACAAAUGUGAAGAAUGUGGCAAAGCUUUUAGGCGGUCUUCACAUCUUAGUAGACAUAAGAUAAUUCAUGUUGGAAUUCAUACUGAAGAGAUUCUACCAAAGUGUAAAGAAUGUGGCAAAGCUUUUCACCAGUACUUUACCCUUACUACACAUAAGAUAAUUCAUGCUGGAGAGAAACCCUACAAAUGUGAAGAAUGUGGCAAAGAUUUCUAUUGAUUCUCGUACCUUACUAAAUAUAAGAUAAUUCAUAUUGGAGAGAAAUUCUACAGAUGUGAAGAAUGUGGCAAAGUCCUUAAUUAGUUCUCAUCCCUUACUAAACAUAAGAGAAUUCAUACCAUAGAGAAAUCCUACAAAUGUGAAGAAUGUGACAAAGCUUUUAACCACUUCUCAACCAUGCUUACAUAUAAGAUAAUUCAUACUGGAAGGAAACCCUACAAAUAUGAAGAAUGUCUCAAAGCUUUUUACUGAUUCUUAUACCUUACUAAACAUAAAAUAAUUCAUAAAGGAGAGAAAUUAUACAAAUGUGAAGAAUGUGGCAAAGCUUUUAACAAAUCCUCAUAUAUUAGUAAACAUAAGAUAAUUCAUACUGGAGAGAAAACCUACACAUGUGAAGAAUGUGGCAAAGCUUUAGCCUGUCCCUCCAACUUACUGCACAUAAGAUAAUUUAUACUGGAGAGAAGCCCUACAAAUGUGAAAAAUGUGGCAAACCUUUUAACCAAUCCUCAACCCUUACUACACAUUAGAUAAUUCAUACUGGAGAGAAACCCUACAAACGUGAAAAAUGUGGCAAAGCUUUUAACCAAUUUUCAAACCUUACUAAACAUAACUCAUACUAGAGAAAAAUCUUACAAAUGUGAAGAAUGUGGUAAAGCUUUUAUCCAGUCCUCAACUCCUACUAAACAUAAUGAUGGAGAGAAACCGUACAACUGUGAAGAAUGUGGCCAAGCUUUUAACCGGUCCCCAAACCUUAUUGAACAAAAUAAUUCAUACAGGAGAGAAACCCUACACAUGUGAAGAAUGUGACAAAGCCUUUAACCAGUCCUCAAUUUUUACUAAACGUAAGAAAAUUCAUACUGGAGAGAAACCCUAUGAUUGUGAAAAAUAUGGCAAAGGCUUUAACUAGUCCUCAGUUCUUAACACACAUACGAUAAUUCAUACUAGAGAGAAACUCUACAAACCAGUAAGAUGUGACAGUGCCUCUGACAACAUCUCAAACUUUUCUAAUCAUAAAAGAAAUAUUGGUGAGAAAUCCUAAAAAUGUAGAG
This is an RNA transcript of Nomascus leucogenys (northern white-cheeked gibbon), 4576 nucleotides long. It is a transcript of the gene named zinc finger protein 85-like, with no coding region annotated. The transcript has 4 exons. The record is from RefSeq and is a predicted model, not a curated record. Lineage: Eukaryota; Metazoa; Chordata; Mammalia; Primates; Hylobatidae.